GGUACCCCAUAUCCACCUAGAGGAGCCUGUCCUACAAUCGAUACCCCCCGUUAAACCUCACCACUUUUAGCCCAUUCAGCCUGUAUACCUCCGUCGUCAGCUUACCACGUGAGCGCAACUUAGUGAGCCUAAUGCCCAUACGCCAAUACGUCAGGUCAAGGUGCAGCAAAAUAAAGUGGGAAGAGAUGGGCUACACUCUCUAAUAUAGAAAACACGGAAAACUAUUUAUGAAACCUAGUCUAAAGGCGGUUUAGAGUAAAAGAAAA
This 266-nucleotide ribosomal RNA is filed under the name Teratohyla midas (Santa Cecilia cochran frog). RNAcentral describes it as "partial 12S ribosomal RNA". Lineage: Eukaryota; Metazoa; Chordata; Amphibia; Anura; Centrolenidae. The record is from RNAcentral.